GAUGAACGCUGGCGGCGUGCUUAACACAUGCAAGUCGAACGAAGCAUUUAGGACAGAUUACUUCGGUUUGAAGUUCUUUAUGACUGAGUGGCGGACGGGUGAGUAACGCGUGGGUAACCUGCCUUGUACUGGGGGAUAGCAGCUGGAAACGGCUGGUAAUACCGCAUAAGCGCACAAUGUUGCAUGACAUGGUGUGAAAAACUCCGGUGGUAUAAGAUGGACCCGCGUCUGAUUAGCUAGUUGGUGAGAUAACAGCCCACCAAGGCGACGAUCAGUAGCCGACCUGAGAGGGUGACCGGCCACAUUGGGACUGAGACACGGCCCAGACUCCUACGGGAGUCAGCAGUGGGGAAUAUUGCACAAUGGAGGAAACUCUGAUGAAGCGACGCCGCGUGAGUGAAGAAGUAAUUCGUUAUGUAAAGCUCUAUCAGCAGGGAAGAUAGUGACGGUACCGGUCUAAGAAGCUCCGGCUAAAUACGUG
RNAcentral lists this ribosomal RNA (481 nucleotides) under uncultured bacterium. Its description in RNAcentral is "partial 16S ribosomal RNA". It matches the Rfam family "Bacterial small subunit ribosomal RNA", at positions 28 to 507 of the family's 1533-position model. The record is from RNAcentral.